AAUGAACGUUGGCGGCGUGGAUUAGGCAUGCGAGUCGAGCGAGAACCGUAGCAAUACGGGGACAGCGGCGAAAGGGACAGUAACGGGUAGAUUAUCUGCCCUCAGGUUUGGGAUAGCUGCGGGAAACUGCAAGUAAUACCAAAUAAUAUCUCCGGAUCAAAGGUGUGAUUCCGCCUGAGGAUGAGUCUGCCUCCUAUUAGCUUGUUGGUGGGGUAACGGCCUACCAAGGCAUUGAUGGGUAGCGGGUGUGAGAGCACGACCCGCGUCAUUGGGACUGAGACACUGCCCAGACACCGACGGGUGGCUGCAGUCGAGAAUGUUUGGCAAUGGACGCAAGUCUGACCGAGCGACGCCGCGUGUGGGAUGAAGGCCUUCGGGUUGUAAACCACUGUCAGAGGGGAUGAAAUGCAGGUGGGUACUCCCAUUUGUUUGACAUAGCCUCAGAGGAAGUACGGGCUAAACUCGUGCCAGCCGCCGCGGUAA
This 483-nucleotide ribosomal RNA is filed under the name uncultured bacterium. RNAcentral describes it as "partial 16S ribosomal RNA". It matches the Rfam family "Bacterial small subunit ribosomal RNA", at positions 29 to 523 of the family's 1533-position model. The record is from RNAcentral.